This 327-nucleotide ribosomal RNA is filed under the name uncultured eukaryote. Its description in RNAcentral is "partial 18S ribosomal RNA". It matches the Rfam family "Eukaryotic small subunit ribosomal RNA", at positions 1470 to 1796 of the family's 1831-position model. The record is from RNAcentral.
CCCUUAGAUGUUCUGGGCCGCACGCGCGCUACACUGACGAAUGCAACGAGCUUAUAACCUUGGCCGAAAGGUCUGGGUAAUCUCCAAAUUUCGUCGUGAUGGGGAUAGAUUAUUGCAAUUAUUAAUCUUCAACGAGGAAUGCCUAGUAAGCGCAAGUCAUGAGCUUGCGUUGAUUACGUCCCUGCCCUUUGUACACACCGCCCGUCGCUCCUACCGAUUGAAUGGUCCGGUGAAGCGUUCGGACCGUGGCCUUUGGACGGUUCGCCGUCUGUUGGCUGCGGGAAGUUCGUUAAACCUUAUCAUUUAGAGGAAGGAGAAGUCGUAACA